RNAcentral lists this ribosomal RNA (493 nucleotides) under uncultured bacterium. Its description in RNAcentral is "partial 16S ribosomal RNA". It matches the Rfam family "Bacterial small subunit ribosomal RNA", at positions 43 to 523 of the family's 1533-position model. The record is from RNAcentral.
CAUGCCUUACACAUGCAAGUCGAACGGCAGCGGGGGAGAAGCUUGCUUUUCCUGCCGGCGAGUGGCGAACGGGUGAGUAAUACAUCGGAACGUGCCCUGUAGUGGGGGAUAACGCAGCGAAAGCUGCGCUAAUACCGCAUACGAUCUGAGGAUGAAAGCGGGGGACCGUAAGGCCUCGCGCGAUCGGAGCGGCCGAUGUCAGAUUAGGUAGGUGGUGGGGUAAAGGCUCACCAAGCCGGCGAUCUGUAGCUGGUCUGAGAGGACGACCAGCCACACUGGGACUGAGACACGGCCCAGACUCCUACGGGAGGCAGCAGUGGGGAAUUUUGGACAAUGGGCGAAAGCCUGAUCCAGCAAUGCCGCGUGCAGGAAGAAGGCCUUCGGGUUGUAAACUGCUUUUGUACGGAGCGAAAAGGCUCUCUCUAAUACAGGGGGCUCAUGACGGUACCGUAAGAAUAAGCACCGGCUAACUACGUGCCAGCCGCCGCCGUAA